UACGUAGGGUGCGAGCGUUGUCCGGAAUUAUUGGGCGUAAAGAGCUCGUAGGCGGUGUGUCGCGUCGGCCGUGAAAACCUGCAGCUUAACUGUGGCUUGCGGUCGAUACGGGCAUCACUGGAGUUCGGCAGGGAGACUGGAAUUCCUGGUGUAGCGGUGAAAUGCGCAGAUAUCAGGAGGAACACCGGUGGCGAAGGCGGGUCUCUGGGCCGAUACUGACGCUGGAGGAGCGAAAGCCGUGGGAGCGAACAGG
RNAcentral lists this ribosomal RNA (253 nucleotides) under uncultured bacterium. RNAcentral's name for it is "partial 16S ribosomal RNA". It matches the Rfam family "Bacterial small subunit ribosomal RNA", at positions 524 to 776 of the family's 1533-position model. The record is from RNAcentral.